This is a long non-coding RNA of Mus musculus (house mouse), 722 nucleotides long. RefSeq annotates it as RIKEN cDNA 2310001H17 gene. Lineage: Eukaryota; Metazoa; Chordata; Mammalia; Rodentia; Muridae. The transcript is spliced from 3 exons. The record is from RefSeq and is marked validated.
CUCGGGUUAACAGAUGGUAGUGAGCUGUCUGAACUACUUAAAAUUUUCAGGUAAAAGGGCAGCAAGCAUUCUUAAACUGCUGAGCGGCCCUCUAGGUGUUCUUUGCUGGGGCAGGGGAGUUAGCAGGGAGGAAGUGGAGAGAACUGGGAGAGUUGAGACCCUCCUUCUGAGCGUUAAGCUGCAUGUAGAUAAUAUCUGCAGGUGUGGCACAAUUGAAAAGGCAGUGGCUUUCAGGCUAGUCACUGCACGGACUAGUAAGGCAGCUCUCUUGCUCCCAGCACCGUGCAUCUGAUUCUCCGUUCUCAGGGACCACCUGACAUGGUUAAACAGCCCUGGCUUAACGUUCCAGACACUGCUGCCAAUACUUGCGGCUGUUAGUUCCUGAUUUCUGCUUAAGGCUUUGCAGUUCUGCUUAUAGUCCUGUGAUCAGAGACACUUCCUCCUGUGGCAGCUGAAUUCCACGUUUCCCGAAACAGGAUUUCCCUAUUUUGUAGAGAACUUCCAUGAUUGAAUCUUCCUGCUUCUGGAAAUAAAAUGGGUAGUCCCUUGCAUACAAAGCUUGGAGGGUGUCUCUCAUUCUUCUCUUCUUCUGCUUUUUCUCAUCUACCUGAGAAUAAUUUUAAAUGGAUCGAAGGAAUGAAUGUCAGCCACCAAACUGAGAAGUUGACUUGCCUUUAAUCACCUGUAACUUUGUUAGAAUAAUAAAUUCUGUAGAAAGCUAA